Non-coding RNA from Microcebus murinus (gray mouse lemur), 3653 nucleotides. The record is from RefSeq and is a predicted model, not a curated record. NCBI's taxonomy places the organism in Eukaryota, Metazoa, Chordata, Mammalia, Primates, Cheirogaleidae.
UGGCCUUUUUCUUUCAGCCCCUUAGAAAUGUGCCCCAUCUCCUGAGAGCCUAUGUUUUGUGCAGUAUAUAAUUGUGUUUGAGUAGAAGAGAAUAUCUUGACGACAGCUCCAGAAGUGGAAGCAUCUUUUCACUACCUUGACCCCCUUAAUUAAUCACAAUUUGACACAGUACAUGGUUUUUGUUUAUUUAUUUUAUGUCUUCCCCAACUAAAAUGCAGGCCCCAGGAGAGCAGGGAUUUUGGCUGAUUGGUUCAUUGCAAUAUCCCUUGUGCCUAGAAUAACAUCUUGCAUACAUAUAGUAGAUAUUCAAUUCAUAUUGUUGACUACAAGAAUAAGGACUCCUUUAAGUGGGUUCAAGCCAAGGAGGUUAUUUUAAGAAUUCGCAUGGAGAGAUGGGACCUCUCAAGACAAUUCAAGGACAGGAGGAGCUGCUGGGCUGGGCUACACAAGGCUGGGACGCAGUGGCUGCUUCUGAAUCUAAGGUGGUUCUGGGUUUGGGUCAGGUGUUCAACCUCUGACCCAAUCCACUAUGGCAGGUCAAGAAGAUGGCCAGGUACAAUAACACAUGGAAGCUGGCCAGCAGGGAUGAAGUAGUUUCCUCUAGAAGGGGCCAUGGUUGGGGCACAUAUGAAGACUGUGAAAUUCAGAACAAUCUCUGAGAGUGAAACUGUGAAGAAUCAACAUUUGAUGGAAUAAAUAAACAUCAUGAGAAGGCAGAAACCCACCCUGAGUGACGGCAAAACACCCAAGUCCAAUCAAGGGAAGGAGGCAGUAGUUUCAGGAAGACGUGAUUAUGCUGAAUAAAGUUGCAGCCUAAUCAAUUAUAUUGAACCACGUUCCAAGUGGUCAAUCAGGAAACAAGAAGUGUCUGUGUUUCUUCUUGCCCUUGCCCCAGGGGAGAGAGACCAGUGCACAGGGAGCAAGGUGUUAAGUUGAGCCAGCUAGUCUAAUAAAGUAGACAGACUGUAAUGAAACAAUGACUCUCAUGCCUAAACUAACUGGUGCUGAGGGUUAUGAAGGAAGAGAAUAGGGAACCAUGAGAGCUUAGAACAGAGGGUUUAAUCUAGGCUGGGGGGGAUCAGAAAAGGCUGCUUAGGGGACAUGAACUUUGGCAGCUUGGAAACUUGACAGGCAAAAGUUGGGAAUGGAUAAAGUGUUACUGAUGCCCUGGGGUUGUUUGCUGUCCUUCAGACAUACGUGUUCAGCACUUUUCUGCCUUGGGGCUUUGCCUUGGCUGUUCCCUCUGCCUGAAAAACCCUUUCUCCGGAUAAUCUGAUAGCUCACUUUGUGCUCAAAGAUCUGGUCCCUGGCAUUCUAGCUAGCACAGCACCCCCUGACAUUCUGCACUCCUUUCUCUGAUUGAUGCUUUUUCUUAGCAUUUACCCACCCUGUGAUUUUGUGUUAUAUAGUGAUUCAUUUAUGAUCUGUCUUCCCUUCCCUAAGCUUCAUGCAGGCAACAGUUUUGUCUUUUGUUCACUAUUAUAUAUCCACCCCAGUGUCCAGUACAUAAUUUGCCUCAAUAAAUAUAUAUUCAAAUAUUAAAUUAAAAGAGCAAGGUACAUCUAGGAACAGAAGGGAGGCCAGUAUGGUCAGACUUUAAUAAGCAAGAGGGUGGAUGGUAAGAGAAGAGGAGAGAUAGGUAGACAGGGGCUAGAGCAUCGUAAGACAAUAUGGACUUUAAGAGUUUAAGCCUCAUUCUAUGAGCAAUGGAAAGCCACCAAAGCUUUUAAAUAAUGGGAGUAUUGGGAUGGAAUUUCCAUUUUAAAAGACCUUUCUGGCUUCUGUGGGAAGACUAGAUCAUUGGAGGUAAGGGAGUGUGGAGAGAUGGAGACACAUUUGGAGGCUAGUGUAGUUUCUCAGCCUGGAGAUGGUGGUGCCUAGGACUAGGGUGGUGAUGGUGGAGGUGAGGAGAAGAGGUGAAUGCAAAUGAUGUUAAUGAGACAGAAUCAGUGGGAGGUGGGAAUAAAUUUUGAUACAGAGAGUGAGAGACAAGGAGGGGUCAGGGAUCAGUCCUAGGUUUCUGACUUAUGAAACUGAUGGGUGGUGGUCCAUUUGCUAAAAUGGAACUUUGGAGAAGGAGGCGUAUAAGGGCAGGAGAGGGCUGGAGAGAGUUGGAAAAAUCAGACCACACCAGGCCCUGAGAUAUUGGAAUUUAAGAUUUAGAACAUGGGGCAGAUCUAGGGGAUGGCCAUAACUAUAGAUAAACUUGAGAUUUGGUGGAUUGAUUCACUCAGAAAUAUUUAUUAAACAUCUACUAUGUUUCAGGCACCAUAUGGGCCCUGGGCUUGGCCUACAAGAAUGCAAAAAAAGUCCUUGCCCUUAACUGGGAGAGUCAUAUUGAACUUCUGUACAUUAAAACAAUCUGUAACUCCAGAUAGUAAGAAGAAAAACAAAGCAGAGUAAAGGGACAAAGAGCAGAGCGUAUCUCAGGCAGGUUGGAUGGCGAAGGCCUUUCUGAAGGUAACAUUUGAACACAGAUGUGUGAGAUGAGAAGCAGCCAUUCACACACAAAUCUGUGGGAAGUGCAAUUCCUGGUCAAGGACACAGUGAGUGCAAAAGCCCGAGGUGGGAAAAGCUUGACGUGCUUAAGGAAUAGCAGGAAGGCCGGCACAGCAGAAAGUGAGUGGUAGAGGAGCACUUGUAGAAGAAAAGUUAGCAGUAGGCAAGGAACAGGUAAAUGAAAAAAUGCUCAACAUCACUAAUCAUUGGGGAAAUGCAAAUUAAACUAUAGUAUCACCUCGUACCUCUUAGAAUGGCUAUUAUCGAUAAGAUUAAAGAUAAGCGUUGGCAAGAUUGUGGAGAAAAGAAACCCUUACAGACUGUUGGUGGGAAUGAAAAUGAGUACAGCCAUUAUGGAAAACAGCAAGGUAGUUCCUCAAAAUAUUAAAAAUGGAACUACCCCAUGAUCCAGCAGUCCCAUUGCUGGGUACACAUAUAGCCAAAGCAUGUGAAAACAGGAUGUGGAAGAGCUGUCUACACUCCCAUGUUCACUGCAGCCUUAUCCACAGCGGCCGAGACGUGGAAUCAACCUAAGUGUCCACCAGUGGAAGAACGGAUAAAGACAAUGCGGGAUUUGUAUACACAGCGGAAUGUUAUCCAGCCUUUAAAACGAAGGAGCUCCUGUCAUUUUUGACAACAUGGAUGAACCUGGAGGACAUUAUGCUAAGUGAAAUAAGCCAGGCACAGAAAGACAAACACUGCAUGAUCUCACACAUACACGGAAUCUAAAAGAUUGAAGUCACAGAAGCAGAGUAGAACGGUGGUUACCAUGGCCUGGGGCUGUUGGGUAGGAGGAUUGGGGAGAUGCUGGGAAAAGGAUAUGACAUUUCAGUUAGACAGGAAGAAUAUGUUCAAGAGAUCUGUUGUACAACACGGUGACUAUAAUUAAUAACAAUGAAUACGUAGUAUCCUGGGAGUUGGAGUCAUAAACCGCUCCAGAAGUGAGCUUGAAUGAUGCUGAAGGUCGGAACACUCUGGAAAUGAACACGCAGCUGAGUCCCCCGUGAGCGAGGCCAACUGUGUAACUGAAAGGGCUCUGGAUGAACCUCCGUGAAGAAUACAAUGUUCAUUAAGGGACAAGCAAUCAAAAAGGACUAAUUUGAACAUACAUUAUAUGCACAUAUAUAUAUAUUAAAACUCAAGAGUGACUACAA